This 425-nucleotide ribosomal RNA is filed under the name uncultured bacterium. Its description in RNAcentral is "partial 16S ribosomal RNA". It matches the Rfam family "Bacterial small subunit ribosomal RNA", at positions 354 to 796 of the family's 1533-position model. The record is from RNAcentral.
GUGGGGAAUCUUGUGCAAUGGGCGAAAGCCUGACGCAGCCAUGCCGCGUGAAUGAUGAAGGUCUUAGGAUUGUAAAAUUCUUUCACCGGGGACGAUAAUGACGGUACCCGGAGAAGAAGCUCCGGCUAACUUCGUGCCAGCAGCCGCGGUAAUACGAAGGGGGCUAGCGUUGCUCGGAAUUACUGGGCGUAAAGGGCGCGUAGGCGGACAGCUUAGUCAGAGGUGAAAGCCCAGGGCUCAACCUUGGAAUUGCCUUUGAUACUGGCUGUCUUGAGUUUGGGAGAGGUGAGUGGAACUCCGAGUGUAGAGGUGAAAUUCGUAGAUAUUCGGAAGAACACCAGUGGCGAAGGCGACUCACUGGCCCAAUACUGACGCUGAGGCGCGAAAGCGUGGGGAGCAAACAGGAUUAGAUACCCGAGUAGUCC